RNAcentral lists this ribosomal RNA (460 nucleotides) under uncultured bacterium. RNAcentral's name for it is "partial 16S ribosomal RNA". It matches the Rfam family "Bacterial small subunit ribosomal RNA", at positions 338 to 795 of the family's 1533-position model. The record is from RNAcentral.
CCUACGGGAGGCAGCAGUGAGGAAUAUUGGUCAAUGGACGAGAGUCUGAACCAGCCAAGUAGCGUGAAGGAUGACUGCCCUAUGGGUUGUAAACUUCUUUUAUAAAGGAAUACAACGAGGCACGUGUGCAUUUUUGCAUGUACGUUAUGAAUAAGGAUCGGCUAACUCCGUGCCAGCAGCCGCGGUAAUACGGAGGAUCCGAGCGUUAUCCGGAUUUAUUGGGUUUAAAGGGAGCGUAGAUGGGUUGGUAAGUCAGUUGUGAAAGUUUGCGGCUCAACCGUAAAAUUGCAAUUGAUACUGGCAGUCUUGAGUACAGUUGAGGUAAGCGGAAUUCGUGGUGUAGCGGUGAAAUGCUUAGAUAUCACGAAGAACCCCGAGUGCGAAGGCAGCUUACUAAACUGUGACUGACACUGAUGCUCGAAAGUGUGGGUAUCAAACAGGAUUAGAUACCCCUGUAGUC